CCUACGGGUGGCUGCAGUGAGGAAUAUUGGUCAAUGGACGAGAGUCUGAACCAGCCAAGUAGCGUGAAGGAUGACUGCCCUAUGGGUUGUAAACUUCUUUUAUAUGGGAAUAAAACGUUCCACGUGUGGGAUUUUGUAUGUACCAUAUGAAUAAGGAUCGGCUAACUCCGUGCCAGCAGCCGCGGUAAUACGGAGGAUCCGAGCGUUAUCCGGAUUUAUUGGGUUUAAAGGGAGCGUAGGCGGAUUGUUAAGUCAGGUGUGAAAGUUUGCGGCUCAACCGUAAAAUUGCAGUUGAAACUGGCAGUCUUGAGUACAGUAGAGGUGGGCGGAAUUCGUGGUGUAGCGGUGAAAUGCUUAGAUAUCACGAAGAACUCCGAUUGCGAAGGCAGUUCACUGGACUGCAACUGACGCUGAGGCACGAAAGUGUGGGUAUCAAACAGGAUUAGAUACCCGUGUAGUC
Molecule: ribosomal RNA, 460 nt
Filed under: uncultured bacterium
Lineage: Bacteria
Description: partial 16S ribosomal RNA
Rfam family: Bacterial small subunit ribosomal RNA
Source: RNAcentral